UUCUGCUGGAGCCACACAGAGCGGAGCAAAGACUCAGUGACAAGCUGCAUGAUCAUCCCCCGGGGUGGCUUGGUACUGUUAUCGCUGCUAACAGAUGAGGAAACUGAGGCACCAGCCAGAGCAGUGAUUGACACCAGCCAUUGUUAGUGAAUGGGGCUCAGGACUGGGAAGAAGACCUGGGAGUCCUGUCUCUGGCUCAGCACCAAGGCACAAGAUCUCCUGUAGUGCAAAUGGCCAUAGCUUUCAGCCAGUUCAGUUCACGCUGAGCCAAAACACAGGGUUUUGCAACGGCACAUCUUCCAUAGAGGCAACUGAUUUGGUUCAUCACUGCUAAAUGACUCCAUUCAAAGCUCGCUUCAUCCUUUUAAUUAACCUCUAUGCAGAUUUCAUCCUCAGGGUGCGCUGGAGUCUGUGUGCACAGGCAGGUCUGCAUGAGAAGGGCAUGCAAGUGCUCGGAGCGGCUGUUCUCAAAGCCCAGCAAAAGCGAGGGACCUCCUCUCCUCCCUCAAGGCCCCAGUCCGGGUCAGGGAGCCGGGCCGUCGAUGUUUAGUCUGGAAUGGUCUGCGGGACACGAUUUGGUGGCGUUCCCGUGAUACAUCGCACAAUGAGCUUAGGGAGGACAAUGCAGUUGCUUUGUGAGACGUGGCGAUGCUGUGUCUUGUGACACAGCCUAUUAGCAGAUUGGCUAAUGCUGGGUGUGCAGCUGCUUUCUGUCACGGGAAAGGCUGAAAGCAGCCAGAAUAUACCUGUGAAUCCUGCCUCUAAUUACUGAGAGCAAAAACCAGUGUGCUCCUGGUUUUCCCGUAUCUGCGCACCUUGCAGGCACAUGAAAAAUAACAGUCCACAACAAGAAUAAAAAUCCCUUUUUUUGCCUUACUAAAAUCCUGCUUAUUAAACAGAAUUCCUCUUUAAAAAGGCUGUGAUAGAAGGGAAGAAAGACACUUCUUUUCAUGAAGACAACUUAUUAAACAGCUGAGUGGAUUUUGCUACCUCUGCUUAACCCCAGCUGUCUCUACAACCCCUAUUUAAGACGUUUUGCCUCUUUAAAGGGCCUUUCUGGCAGCCCUCCAUCAGCACUGAAUUUUUCAGGCGGGGGGAGGGAUGGGAUGUGAAGCAGCCCAACGAGGGAACAUAACAUUUUUCCUUUCAUUUCACGAAGGCCAAGAUUUGGCCUUCUUGCUGAGGGUGGCUCGGUGGUAAUAAGGAUCCCGGCAGUGAACUUCCUGUGAACUGAUGGGAAAAGCCCUUCUCCCGGAGAGAGGAGACAAUAUCCAAGGGCUGUGUACAGAAAAGGGAGGUAGUCAGCUAAUAAAGAAAAUUAACCCGGUGGACAUGAUUUGCCCGCAUUCUCCAAAGCUGGAGCUCUUUUAUAAGGCUUGCGGCAGAAAGCUCUUAAGGAUAACAACUAAUCCCUGGAUAAGGGUCAAAGUUCUUACUGGGCAUUAAAACCUGGUGAUGUGAUUAGAGAAAAAGUGAAAAUUUGCUGCUCAGAGCAGAGCCUCCAAUGAGGAAGCCGCAGGGUGCCAUGUUCUGGUCGCUGCUGAAUGAUCCCAGGACACCGGGGAUGAAGAGCUAAUGGCUUUGGCUGAUGGUGCUCAGAUGUCUGAGGAGCUCCAAAGGGAUGGAAAGAUUAUUUGGAGUGAAGCAGCCCAACAGCCCUCUGAAAUGGCCACUGGGACAGGUGCAAGGUGACGUACCCUGGCACGGGACAGCCAUAACUUCACCUCUCCACCAACGGGCCUUGAAGGUCCCCUCUGGAAAAAAAAUAUUUAGCAGUUGCUGUGGAUACCUCCGAUUAGAUGCCUGGGUUUUGUGUGUAUCUGCAACCUAGAAGGCAAACAGGGCUCAAGUGACUUAGAACCAGGAGAGAAACUAUAAAAAAUAUCCACAGUGAGACAAUGAUAUAUAAACAAUCCUUUUCCAGGCUUAGGAAAGGUUCGAGAUUGACAACACCAGAAGAUGGGGAGUGGAUUAAAAAUAGGGUGGAACCUGGUCGUAAAGGGAUAUGGCAAGAGACUGGAGAGCAGGGUCUGAAGUGUGCUGGAGGGGGCUGGGUGGUGGAAUUUAAGGCUAGGAAGGAAAAUAUUUGCUGGCAAAUCACCUGCCCAGCUGAACCCCAUGGCAGUUUCAAAAUGAAUGCAAUCUGGGGCAUUUACCUUCUGAGCUUUUGGAGCCUGCUUGGGUCAGGCUGGAUUUUAUCUUUUGCAAGCGAAAGUUUGACUAAAAGCUGGUAGCCUUGCACAUCACACAGCUCUUGCACUGGUGCAAAUAGCACAAGAUUCUCAGUAAAAUUGUCAGUGUUGGUGGCCUGGGCUGUAAUAGCUGCUUCUUUCUCUGCGUGGUCUGAUGGAGGGGUUGCCUGGGGCAGGUUCCCCAAGUGCUGGUAAAUCUGGAGCUCAGGCACAACUGCAAGCCCUAGCUGAGAGUCUUCCAGCUAGGAGCAAUUUACUCCACUGAGAGCUGUGUCCAUGAGAGUGCAGGAGGUUUCGCAACUGGGAGGGUUCCCUGCACCCAGGGCUGACUGAUAAAUUUGGGGCCGCCCCACCCCACUCCUCA
This is a long non-coding RNA of Oxyura jamaicensis (ruddy duck), 2556 nucleotides long. RefSeq lists it as uncharacterized. The record is from RefSeq and is a predicted model, not a curated record. Lineage: Eukaryota; Metazoa; Chordata; Aves; Anseriformes; Anatidae. The transcript has 2 exons.